Molecule: ribosomal RNA, 492 nt
Filed under: uncultured bacterium
Lineage: Bacteria
Description: partial 16S ribosomal RNA
Rfam family: Bacterial small subunit ribosomal RNA
Source: RNAcentral
AGUGAACGCUGGCGGUAGGCCCAACACAUGCAAGUCGAACGGCAGCACAGUAAGAGCUUGCUCUUACGGGUGGCGAGUGGCGGACGGGUGAGGAAUACAUCGGAAUCUACUUUUUCGUGGGGGAUAACGUAGGGAAACUUACGCUAAUACCGCAUACGACCUACGGGUGAAAGCAGGGGAUCUUCGGACCUUGCGCGAUUGAAUGAGCCGAUGUCGGAUUUGCUAGUUGGCGGGGUAAAGGCCCACCAAGGCGACGAUCCGUAGCUGGUCUGAGAGGAUGAUCAGCCACACUGGAACUGAGACACGGUCCAGACUCCUACGGGAGGCAGCAGUGGGGAAUAUUGGACAAUGGGCGCAAGCCUGAUCCAGCCAUACCGCGUGGGUGAAGAAGGCCUUCGGGUUGUAAAGCCCUUUUGUUGGGAAAGAAAAGCAGCAGGUUAAUACCCCGCUGUUCUGACGGUACCCAAAGAAUAAGCACCGGCUAACUUCGUG